RNAcentral lists this ribosomal RNA (253 nucleotides) under uncultured bacterium. RNAcentral's name for it is "partial 16S ribosomal RNA". It matches the Rfam family "Bacterial small subunit ribosomal RNA", at positions 524 to 776 of the family's 1533-position model. The record is from RNAcentral.
UACGAGAGGCCCAAACGUUAUUCGGAUUUACUGGGCUUAAAGAGUUCGUAGGCGGCGCAGAAAGUAGGGUGUGAAAGCCCUCGGCUCAACCGAGGAAUUGCGCUCUAAACUACUGUGCUUGAGGAACCUAGAGGUGAGCAGAACUGAUGGUGGAGCGGUGAAAUGCGUUGAUAUCAUCAGGAAUACCGGAGGCGAAGGCGGCUCACUGGGGGUUAUCUGACGCUGAGGAACGAAAGCCAGGGGAGCGAACGGG